UCCGUAGGUGAACCUGCGGAAGGAUCACUAACACUAAUCCGUCUCAUCUCAACCAAGCCACUAGUUGCAGCUCUAGGUAGUGCUCGUCACUCCUAUUGCAGCAUCACAAAAACCUAAUCAUACAAAGUCUUAUAACUAAGCUUUAUAACAAAACCAAAUUCUCAACGAUGGAUAUCUUGGUUCCCAUAACGAUGAAGAACGCAGCGAAGUGCGAUAAGCAGUGCGAAUUGCAGAACCGUGAGUCAUCAGAUUUUUGAACGCAACUGGCGCCGGCUGGGUCUCCAGUCGGCAUGCUUGUUUCAGUGUCUUGUUCUCUCCUCACCCAAACCAUAAUGCUGGAGAUACUCUUCUCUUGCUAAGCACGAAAGCACUCUGUGCUCUGCAGGCGGCUUCGGUCGCACUCAAUGCAGCAGUCACGUUGUUUACAAUGUGAACUCAUUGAGAGUAGAGACAGCGUAGUCUAACCACUACCAGUGUUUCGAUCACAUUAACUUGCAUUGCAUCUGAAAUCAAGGCAGGGGGACCACCCGGCUGGAACUUAAGGCAUAUCAAUAAGGCGGGGAGGGGAAGGUCGGACUGGCCAAGGGGGCACACAGGGGGGGGGGAUA
RNAcentral lists this ribosomal RNA (608 nucleotides) under uncultured fungus. RNAcentral's name for it is "eukaryotic LSU rRNA". The stretch from base 157 to 308 matches the Rfam family "5.8S ribosomal RNA". The record is from RNAcentral. Lineage: Eukaryota; Fungi.